AGUAAAUAGAUACCCUGGUAGUCCACGCUGUAAACGAUGAGUGCUGGACGUUGGCGGGUUUACCUGCCGGUGUCGCAGCUAAACGCGUUAAGCACUCCGCCUGGGGAGUACGGCCGCAAGGUUAAAACUCAAAGGAAUUGACGGGGGCCCGCACAAGCGGUGGAGCAUGUGGUUUAAUUCGACGCAACGCGCAGAACCUUACCAGCCCUUGACAUGGGCGGACGGGGUCCAGAGAUGGACUCUUUCUCGCAAGAGACCGCUACACAGGUGCUGCAUGGCUGUCGUCAGCUCGUGUCGUGAGA
Molecule: ribosomal RNA, 302 nt
Filed under: uncultured bacterium
Lineage: Bacteria
Description: bacterial SSU rRNA
Rfam family: Bacterial small subunit ribosomal RNA
Source: RNAcentral